RNAcentral lists this ribosomal RNA (427 nucleotides) under uncultured prokaryote. RNAcentral describes it as "bacterial SSU rRNA". It matches the Rfam family "Bacterial small subunit ribosomal RNA", at positions 355 to 774 of the family's 1533-position model. The record is from RNAcentral.
UCGAGGAUCUUUUGCAAUGCGCGAAAGCGUGACAAUGCGACGCCGCGUGAGCGAUGAAGGCCUUCGGGUUGUAAAGCUCUGUCAGCUUGGAGGAAAGCAUUCUUUCUAACAAAUAGAGUGUUUGACAUUACAAGCAGAGGAAGCCACGGCUAACUCCGUGCCAGCAGCCGCGGUAAUACGGAGGUGGCAAGCGUUGUUCGGAUUUAUUGGGUGUAAAGGGCAUGUAGGUGUUCUUUUAAGUCCUCUUUGAAAUACUAUGGCUUAACCAUAGCACUGGGGAGGAAACUAAAAGGAUUGAGUACGGAAGAGGAGAGUGGAAUUCACGGUGUAUGGGUGAAAUCAGUAGAUAUCGUGAAGAACACCAGUGGCGAAAGCGACUCUCUGGUCCGAAACUGACACUGAAAUGCGAAAGCUAGGGGAGCAAACA